ACACCCACCUUGGACCAACAAAUGUCUCUGGUGAUACACACAAGGGGGUAGAGAAAGUCUCUCAUAAACCUGUAGUGGCGGCAGUCAUCCUCACUGCGGAUCCUGUCGGGAGAAACAGUU
Small nucleolar RNA from Syngnathus acus (greater pipefish), 120 nucleotides. RefSeq annotates it as small nucleolar RNA SNORA26. The record is from RefSeq and is a predicted model, not a curated record. The transcript has a single exon. NCBI's taxonomy places the organism in Eukaryota, Metazoa, Chordata, Actinopteri, Syngnathiformes, Syngnathidae.